UACAGGGGGGGCAAGCGUUGUUCGGAAUUACUGGGCGUAAAGGGCUCGUAGGCGGCCAACUAAGUCCGACGUGAAAUCCCAAGGCUUAACCUUGGAACUGCGUCGGAUACUGGUUGGCUUGAAUUCGGGAGAGGGAUGCAGAAUUCCAGGUGUAGCGGUGAAAUGCGUAGAUAUCUGGAGGAAUACCGGUGGCGAAGGCGGCAUCCUGGACCGACAUUGACGCUGAGGAGCGAAAGCUAGGGGAGCAAACGGG
Molecule: ribosomal RNA, 253 nt
Filed under: uncultured bacterium
Lineage: Bacteria
Description: partial 16S ribosomal RNA
Rfam family: Bacterial small subunit ribosomal RNA
Source: RNAcentral